CCUACGGGUGGCAGCAGUGGGGAAUAUUGCACAAUGGGGGAAACCCUGAUGCAGCGACGCCGCGUGAGUGAAGAAGGAUCUCGGUAUGUAAAGCUCCAUCAGCAGGGAAGAAAAUGACGGCACCUGAUUAAGAAGCCACGGCUAACUACGUGCCAGCAGCCGCGGUAAUACGUAGGGGGCACGCGUGAUCCGGAUUUACUGGGUGUAAAGGGAGCGUAGACGGGAGUACAAGUCUGGAGUGAAAUGCCGGGGCUUAACCCCGGAACUGCUUUGGAAACUGUGCAGCUAGAGUGCAGGAGUGGUAGGUGGAAUUCCUGGUGUAGCGGUGAAAUGCGUAGAUAUUAGGAGGAACUCCAGUGGCGAAGGCGGCUUACUGGACUGUAACUGACGUUGAGGCUCGAAAGCGUGGGUAGCGAACAGGAUUAGAUACCCGUGUAGUC
RNAcentral lists this ribosomal RNA (440 nucleotides) under uncultured bacterium. Its description in RNAcentral is "partial 16S ribosomal RNA". It matches the Rfam family "Bacterial small subunit ribosomal RNA", at positions 338 to 795 of the family's 1533-position model. The record is from RNAcentral.